UGUAUAAUGGGUCAGCGACUUAUAUUCUGUAGCAAGGUUAACCGAAUAGGGGAGCCGAAGGGAAACCGAGUCUUAACUGGGCGUUAAGUUGCAGGGUAUAGACCCGAAACCCGGUGAUCUAGCCAUGGGCAGGUUGAAGGUUGGGUAACACUAACUGGAGGACCGAACCGACUAAUGUUGAAAAAUUAGCGGAUGACUUGUGGCUGGGGGUGAAAGGCCAAUCAAACCGGGAGAUAGCUGGUUCUCCCCGAAAGCUAUUUAGGUAGCGCCUCGUGAAUUCAUCUCCGGGGGUAGAGCACUGUUUCGGCAAGGGGGUCAUCCCGACUUACCAACCCGAUGCAAACUGCGAAUACCGGAGAAUGUUAUCACGGGAGACACACGGCGGGUGCUAACGUCCGUCGUGAAGAGGGAAACAACCCAGACCGCCAGCUAAGGUCCCAAAGUCAUGGUUAAGUGGGAAACGAUGUGGGAAGGCCCAGACAGCCAGGAUGUUGGCUUAGAAGCAGCCAUCAUUUAAAGAAAGCGUAAUAGCUCACUGGUCGAGUCGGCCUGCGCGGAAGAUGUAACGGGGCUAAACCAUGCACCGAAGCUGCGGCAGCGACACUAUGUGUUGUUGGGUAGGGGAGCGUUCUGUAAGCCUGUGAAGGUGGCCUGUGAGGGUUGCUGGAGGUAUCAGAAGUGCGAAUGCUGACAUAAGUAACGAUAAAGCGGGUGAAAAGCCCGCUCGCCGGAAGACCAAGGGUUCCUGUCCAACGUUAAUCGGGGCAGGGUGAGUCGACCCCUAAGGCGAGGCCGAAAGGCGUAGUCGAUGGGAAACAGGUUAAUAUUCCUGUACUUGGUGUUACUGCGAAGGGGGGACGGAGAAGGCUAUGUUGGCCGGGCGACGGUUGUCCCGGUUUAAGCGUGUAGGCUGGUUUUCCAGGCAAAUCCGGAAAACCAAGGCUGAGGCGUGAUGACGAGGCACUACGGUGCUGAAGCGACAAAUGCCCUGCUUCCAGGAAAAGCCUCUAAGCAUCAGGUAACAUCAAAUCGUACCCCAAACCGACACAGGUGGUCAGGUAGAGAAUACCAAGGCGCUUGAGAGAACUCGGGUGAAGGAACUAGGCAAAAUGGUGCCGUAACUUCGGGAGAAGGCACGCUGAUAUGUAGGUGAAGCGACUUGCUCGUGGAGCUGAAAUCAGUCGAAGAUACCAGCUGGCUGCAACUGUUUAUUAAAAACACAGCACUGUGCAAACACGAAAGUGGACGUAUACGGUGUGACGCCUGCCCGGUGCCGGAAGGUUAAUUGAUGGGGUUAGCGGCAACGCGAAGCUCUUGAUCGAAGCCCCGGUAAACGGCGGCCGUAACUAUAACGGUCCUAAGGUAGCGAAAUUCCUUGUCGGGUAAGUUCCGACCUGCACGAAUGGCGUAAUGAUGGCCAGGCUGUCUCCACCCGAGACUCAGUGAAAUUGAACUCGCUGUGAAGAUGCAGUGUACCCGCGGCAAGACGGAAAGACCCCGUGAACCUUUACUAUAGCUUGACACUGAACAUUGAGCCUUGAUGUGUAGGAUAGGUGGGAGGCUUUGAAGUGUGGACGCCAGUCUGCAUGGAGCCGACCUUGAAAUACCACCCUUUAAUGUUUGAUGUUCUAACGUUGGCCCGUAAUCCGGGUUGCGGACAGUGUCUGGUGGGUAGUUUGACUGGGGCGGUCUCCUCCUAAAGAGUAACGGAGGAGCACGAAGGUUGGCUAAUCCUGGUCGGACAUCAGGAGGUUAGUGCAAUGGCAUAAGCCAGCUUGACUGCGAGCGUGACGGCGCGAGCAGGUGCGAAAGCAGGUCAUAGUGAUCCGGUGGUUCUGAAUGGAAGGGCCAUCGCUCAACGGAUAAAAGGUACUCCGGGGAUAACAGGCUGAUACCGCCCAAGAGUUCAUAUCGACGGCGGUGUUUGGCACCUCGAUGUCGGCUCAUCACAUCCUGGGGCUGAAGUAGGUCCCAAGGGUAUGGCUGUUCGCCAUUUAAAGUGGUACGCGAGCUGGGUUUAGAACGUCGUGAGACAGUUCGGUCCCUAUCUGCCGUGGGCGCUGGAGAACUGAGGGGGGCUGCUCCUAGUACGAGAGGACCGGAGUGGACGCAUCACUGGUGUUCGGGUUGUCAUGCCAAUGGCACUGCCCGGUAGCUAAAUGCGGAAGAGAUAAGUGCUGAAAGCAUCUAAGCACGAAACUUGCCCCGAGAUGAGUUCUCCCUGACUCCUUGAGAGUCCUGAAGGAACGUUGAAG
This 2255-nucleotide ribosomal RNA is filed under the name Escherichia coli. Its description in RNAcentral is "partial 23S ribosomal RNA". It matches the Rfam family "Bacterial large subunit ribosomal RNA", at positions 609 to 2843 of the family's 2925-position model. The record is from RNAcentral. Lineage: Bacteria; Pseudomonadati; Pseudomonadota; Gammaproteobacteria; Enterobacterales; Enterobacteriaceae.